RNAcentral lists this ribosomal RNA (497 nucleotides) under uncultured bacterium. RNAcentral's name for it is "partial 16S ribosomal RNA". It matches the Rfam family "Bacterial small subunit ribosomal RNA", at positions 28 to 507 of the family's 1533-position model. The record is from RNAcentral.
GAUGAACGCUGGCGGCGUGCCUAAUACAUGCAAGUCGAGCGAACAGAUGAGGGGCUUGCUCCUCUGACGUUAGCGGCGGACGGGUGAGUAACACGUGGAUAACCUACCUAUAAGACUGGGAUAACUUCGGGAAACCGGAGCUAAUACCGGAUAAUAUAUUGAACCGCAUGGUUCAAUAGUGAAAGACGGUUUUGCUGUCACUUAUAGAUGGAUCCGCGCCGCAUUAGCUAGUUGGUAAGGUAACGGCCUACCAAGGCAACGAUGCGUAGCCGACCUGAGAGGGUGACCGGCCACACUGGAACUGAGACACGGUCCAGACUCCUACGGGAGGCAGCAGUAGGGAAUCUUCCGCAAUGGGCGAAAGCCUGACGGAGCAACGCCGCGUGAGUGAUGAAGGUCUUCGGAUCGUAAAGCUCUGUUAUUAGGGAAGAACAAAUGUGUAAGUAACUAUGCACGUCUUGACGGUACCUAAUCAGAAAGCCACGGCUAACUACGUG